CUCUGAAAACCCAAGUUCUGUUCACAGCUCUGCUGUGUGACCUUUGCCAAAUCAAUUCCCCUCUCUCUCUCCUCCUGCUGUGUGUGCCAUUAGACUGCAUUUUGCUAAGUGCUAAGACUCUCUCUCUGUCCAACACCUCGCCCGGUGGGGCCCUGAUCUCGGCUGAAAGAGGCAGCGAACAGAGAGAGACUGGCAUUUCACUACUGCUUAGACUGCAAGGCUCGAACCCCAAUCAUCCAAGGGAUGAACCCCGACUGUCCCAUGGAAAGAACCCCGACGCCGCAACGAGGAUGGUUUUGGAAUCCUGGACAGAACCAAUGAAAACUGGAAACACUGGACCACCGGAACGCUGGAACAGGAUGCGACAAUCACCAGGUACUAUAGGAUUGGCUUCAAGCGUUGUCUUUGGUGUGAGACCUAAAGUGCAAUUGACCUGGGGUAAGUGACCUGCCUUUUGGGAUCAGGACUCAUCUGAAUAUUGCUGUGAUUCUUGGAG
Molecule: long non-coding RNA, 496 nt
Organism: Malaclemys terrapin pileata
Lineage: Eukaryota; Metazoa; Chordata; Testudines; Emydidae
Exons: 3
Source: RefSeq, a predicted model, not a curated record